GAUGAACGCUGGCGGCGUGCCUAAUACAUGCAAGUCGAGCGAACGGACGAGAAGCUUGCUUCUCUGAUGUUAGCGGUGGACGGGUGAGUAACACGUGGAUAACCUACCUAUAAGACUGGGAUAACUUCGGGAAACCGGAGCUAAUACCGGAUAAUAUUUUGAACCGCAUGGUUCAAAAGUGAAAGACGGUCUUGCUGUCACUUAUAGAUGGAUCCGCGCUGCAUUAGCUAGUUGGUAAGGUAACGGCUUACCAAGGCAACGAUGCAUAGCCGACCUGAGAGGGUGAUCGGCCACACUGGAACUGAGACACGGUCCAGACUCCUACGGGAGGCAGCAGUAGGGAAUAUUCCGCAAUGGGCGAAAGCCUGACGGAGCAACGCCGCGUGAGUGAUGAAGGUCUUCGGAUCGUAAAACUCUGUUAUUAGGGAAGAACAUAUGUGUAAGUAACUGUGCACAUCUUGACGGUACCUAAUCAGAAAGCCACGGCUAACUACGUG
RNAcentral lists this ribosomal RNA (497 nucleotides) under uncultured bacterium. RNAcentral's name for it is "partial 16S ribosomal RNA". It matches the Rfam family "Bacterial small subunit ribosomal RNA", at positions 28 to 507 of the family's 1533-position model. The record is from RNAcentral.